This 458-nucleotide long non-coding RNA is filed under the name Ananas comosus (pineapple). RNAcentral describes it as "long non-coding RNA (ACOM_LNC014923)". Lineage: Eukaryota; Viridiplantae; Streptophyta; Magnoliopsida; Poales; Bromeliaceae. The record is from RNAcentral.
GGGUCCCUUUUCAGUUUAAAACAAAGCGGAAAAGCGUCUGAAAUUUUUUUUUUUUUAAAACCUGACCCCAGAGUAUGCCAGAUCCGCCACAAAUACAGGGAAUCCACUAUUCACACGGACAGAGUCUCCCCUGUAUUUGCACGGCGUCGAUCAAAUACACAGUACAACCAGGAUACAACCACAACCAGAUGAAUAUAAAGAUAACUAUACAUUCAUACAUUCACCAUUCACAUCACAGUUUUACAUUCAAGGUUUAAACAGAAAUCCACAAAAAUCUUCUGAAAGCUGUUUCCUACACAGAAACCUUUAUUCUUUUAAAAACGCUACCACGAGGGGUAGAAAAUCUUUUAUUUUACAAAAUCCAGAAAUCCACCUUUUCAAAUGUAAAUAAUUACUGAACCACAUAAACCAACUAAACUAUAUAUCAACAGAAAUACCAAGGAUAAUAACUAAAUCNN